This 76-nucleotide transfer RNA is filed under the name Staphylococcus aureus. RNAcentral's name for it is "tRNA-Thr(tgt)". It matches the Rfam family "tRNA". From Rfam's summary of the family: Transfer RNA (tRNA) molecules are approximately 80 nucleotides in length. Their secondary structure includes four short double-helical elements and three loops (D, anti-codon, and T loops). Lineage: Bacteria; Bacillati; Bacillota; Bacilli; Caryophanales; Staphylococcaceae. The record is from RNAcentral.
GCCGGCCUAGCUCAAUUGGUAGAGCAACUGACUUGUAAUCAGUAGGUAGGGGGUUCAAGUCCUCUGGCCGGCACCA